CCUACGGGAGGCAGCAGUGAGGAAUAUUGGUCAAUGGACGAGAGUCUGAACCAGCCAAGUAGCGUGAAGGAUGACUGCCCUAUGGGUUGUAAACUUCUUUUAUAUGGGAAUAAAAUGUUCCACGUGUGGGAUUUUGUAUGUACCAUAUGAAUAAGGAUCGGCUAACUCCGUGCCAGCAGCCGCGGUAAUACGGAGGAUCCGAGCGUUAUCCGGAUUUAUUGGGUUUAAAGGGUGCGUAGGUGGAUUGUUAAGUCAGUUGUGAAAGUUUGUGGCUCAACCGUAAAAUUGCAGUUGAAACUGGCAGUCUUGAGUACAGUAGAGGUGGGCGGAAUUCGUGGUGUAGCGGUGAAAUGCUUAGAUAUCACGAAGAACUCCGAUUGCGAAGGCAGUUCACUGGACUGCAACUGACACUGAGGCUCGAAAGUGUGGGUAUCAAACAGGAUUAGAUACCCUAGUAGUC
Molecule: ribosomal RNA, 460 nt
Filed under: uncultured bacterium
Lineage: Bacteria
Description: partial 16S ribosomal RNA
Rfam family: Bacterial small subunit ribosomal RNA
Source: RNAcentral